Long non-coding RNA from Polypterus senegalus (gray bichir), 1277 nucleotides. RefSeq lists it as uncharacterized. The transcript is spliced from 4 exons. The record is from RefSeq and is a predicted model, not a curated record. Lineage: Eukaryota; Metazoa; Chordata; Cladistia; Polypteriformes; Polypteridae.
GAUCCCAUACAUCAGCAAAGCAGUCCAUCACAGCACAACUCCACAGAUGAAGAUGGCUAUUAAACAGUUCAGGCAGUGGAAACACAGAGUAAAAGCAGGUUGCCACUCUUGGGUGCGGAUCUUGAGUUAAUGUGGCAAUUUACGUAUCCAACUGUUUAUGGAGUUGCUGUCUGUAAUUAUUGGAUUAGAUGACUAGAAGACAGACUUGAGAGACUUUGAAAGUGGAUUGAUUGUUACAGCAUGCUGCUCAAGAGCUUCAUUCCUCAAAGCACUUCAGCUUGUGUAGCAACUUUACAAAUGCAUAGCAGAAUGAUGUACACUCCAUUUUUCUCAAUCCAGAUGAGCAUUAUCCUCUUCCACCUGACUCUGGCUCUCCAGUUGAGCUGAGGAGGCCCCUUUCACGUCAGACCUGGGAGAACUUCUGGUGCCAGGAUUUUGUCCAAAGAAAACACUUCAUGAGUGAGACAGAAGCCUCUUAAUGUAUGGGUAGACAUUCCUGGCUGCACCAAUGGAACCCAGCAAGGCUGUGGAAUGGGACUACAGUUCCCAGUAUGCCCUGUGGGUGUGGGAAAGGCUGCAGUGGUCCAGGAGUGUAGCCAUCAGUAUAUCAGACCGGAUGAUUGACAGCCCUACCACCUCUGAUGUCACUUCCAGUGACCAGCCCCCUGGACCCGCCUUUUCCUUCCUGGCCUGUUCUUAACCGAAACAAAGAAGAUCAAUAAUCCAAACAUACCUGCAAUAACCCACAUCUCAGAAAAUGGCAACUCUACUUCCUCAUUCCAGACGUCACUUCUGGCCUCCGGUGAUGACGUCAUUUCCGGUCCUCCCAAGAUGACAUCAUUUCUACUUUAAUCAUGUCCGGCAGCCAUUUUCUGUAUAAAUAGCCACCUUCACGAUCAUCUGUUGUCUAAUGUCUGAAUUAUUUCUACAUUUUCGACCAACUUUUGCUACAAGCAGUAUACGGGCUAUUCCCCAACUCUAUAUAAUUGUUUUUGUAUACGUUAUUUCGUCACAUUGCAUUUAUCUACAUUCUUUUAUAUUUUUCCACUGAAGCUAUUUUUCUCAGUAUAAAAUAUGAAUAGAAAUCUUUAAUUGCAUGCUACUGAAAUUGAAUCUUGUGAGCAUUAGCCCCUUAAUUGAAUCUGUUCUGCCCUUUCGAAAACAAGGAUAUUUGUUGCUCAAGUAGUCUGCGAACGUGCACUUGCAUGGCAUAAUGGGUAUUCCGGAAUUUGUGGAAAAAAUGAAAGAAUUGUGAAAAUAUUACUAAAUUACUUGAA